RNAcentral lists this microRNA precursor (63 nucleotides) under Petromyzon marinus (sea lamprey). RNAcentral's name for it is "Pma-Mir-33-o2_pre stem-loop". Lineage: Eukaryota; Metazoa; Chordata; Hyperoartia; Petromyzontiformes; Petromyzontidae. The record is from RNAcentral.
CUGCAUUGUUGUUGCAUUGCAUCCUGCAGUGCCUUGUGGGUGCGAUGUAGUAACAGUGCUGCA